AUCCAGUUGACGAUUCCCAAUCAGGAUGAAACGUACGUCCUAGAU
This 45-nucleotide non-coding RNA is filed under the name Schistosoma margrebowiei. The record is from RNAcentral. Lineage: Eukaryota; Metazoa; Platyhelminthes; Trematoda; Strigeidida; Schistosomatidae.